CGGGGUGCACCAGGCGCGAAAACUUCACAAUGGGAGAAAUCCCGAUGAGGGAAUUCCAAGUGCUAGCACUAUGUGUUAGCUGUUCUUUUGUCUAAAAAACAGAAGAAGUAAGGGCCGGGUAAGACGGGUGCCAGCCGCCGCGGUAAUACCCGCGGCCCGAGUGGUGGUCGAUAUUAUUGAGCCUAAAACGUCCGUAGCCGGUCUUGUAAAUCCUUGGGUAAAUCGGCCAGCUUAACUGUCCGAAGUCCGGGGAGACUGCAAGACUUGGGAUCGGGAGAGGUCAGAGGUACUUCUGGGGUAGGGGUAAAAUCCUGUAAUCCUGGAAGGACCACCGGUGGCGAAGGCGUCUGACUAGAACGAAUUCGACGGUGAGGGACGAAGCCCUGGGGCGCAAACGGGAUUAGAUACCCCGGUAGUCCAGGGUGUAAACGCUGCGGGCUUGGUGUUGGGGGUCCUUUGUGGGCGCCCAGUGCCGGAGAGAAGUUGUUAAGCCUGCUGCUUGGGGAGUACGUCCGCAAGGAUGAAACUUAAAGGAAUUGGCGGGGGAGCACAAGGGCGAUUCGCGGCCGCA
RNAcentral lists this ribosomal RNA (571 nucleotides) under uncultured archaeon. Its description in RNAcentral is "bacterial SSU rRNA". It matches the Rfam family "Archaeal small subunit ribosomal RNA", at positions 326 to 899 of the family's 1478-position model. The record is from RNAcentral.